AAAUUGAAGAGUUUGAUCAUGGCUCAGAUUGAACGCUGGCGGCAGGCCUAACACAUGCAAGUCGAACGGUAACAGGAAGCAGCUUGCUGCUUCGCUGACGAGUGGCGGACGGGUGAGUAAUGUCUGGGAAACUGCCUGAUGGAGGGGGAUAACUACUGGAAACGGUGGCUAAUACCGCAUAACGUCGCAAGA
This 192-nucleotide ribosomal RNA is filed under the name Salmonella enterica subsp. enterica serovar Thompson. Its description in RNAcentral is "partial 16S ribosomal RNA". It matches the Rfam family "Bacterial small subunit ribosomal RNA", at positions 1 to 186 of the family's 1533-position model. RNAcentral also lists the same sequence under 11 other names. Lineage: Bacteria; Pseudomonadati; Pseudomonadota; Gammaproteobacteria; Enterobacterales; Enterobacteriaceae. The record is from RNAcentral.